This is a long non-coding RNA of Mytilus californianus (California mussel), 1056 nucleotides long. RefSeq lists it as uncharacterized. NCBI's taxonomy places the organism in Eukaryota, Metazoa, Mollusca, Bivalvia, Mytilida, Mytilidae. The transcript is spliced from 3 exons. The record is from RefSeq and is a predicted model, not a curated record.
UCGAGAAUUAUAAUACAAGACUUGCAAACGAAGAAAGUUUUUAAUUUCUACCACGAUAAUUGGCUAGGAAUACAAAGUGGCACUGCCAAAGUUUGUUUAUCAAUCAAGUCAAGUUACGAAUUGAAGCAACAAUUUUUACUUAGAACAAGCCAAGAUUUACGUAGAGGGCAUUUGUGGAUCAGUAUAAUUUCAAAACCACCAUGUAGUGAUUUCACGAGGGUUCAAAGAUUAUCAUGCGCAUUGUCUUUAUUGCUUUGUACAAUGUUGUCCUGUCUAAUGUUUCAUGGAAUUCCCACUGAAGAAACGAUUAGUUCUCAAGUAGCCAGUAUUCGAUUUGAAUUUUCCCUAAAAGACUUUAUCAUUGGUUUGGAAAGUAGUUUAAUAAUGUUUCCUAUAAACUUAGCUAUCAUUGAACUUUUUGUGCGAUCGAAGACAAAACAGCUACAUAAAGAACGAUAUAUGGAAAUUAAUGUAAACUGUCCAACGGCAUGUGUUGAAAAGGGAUCAGAUAAAAGAGAUCGUGAAAUUGUGGCAGUAAAACGAUGGAUGUUUCCGUGGUGGGUUAUAUACAUUGCAUGGACCACAACUAUUUUGACAUCUUUGACCGCAUCAUAUUUUGUUAUGCUGUACGGAUUGAAAUAUGGCUACUAUGAGAGUUUGAAUUGGCUGGUGUCCUUUCUUACAGCAUUUAUUGAUGAUGUCUUUUUAAUUGAACCUAUCAGUGUUGUGUUUUUUGCCAUGUUGUUUACAUUUAUAUUGAAACGGGAGGUGAAAAUUGAUUUUGGACCAGUCUUGAUUGUACACAAACCAGAAGAAAGCAAUACAUUAUUGCAGAAAAGAAGUAAUAUGAGGACAAUUAUCCCAGAACAUGCUUCAAAAAAAAGUCUGAAGAAAGCUAAACAAGAACUUGAUUUAAAAAAAAAAAUCCAGACAAAUCUUCAGGACAUAAUUCUUUACGUGUUUUUCACAUUUAUGUUGUUAUUUGUUGUACACAACCAUCGACCCGUGGAGAAAUGUUUCAUGCAGUCACAAGAUAUCAAUAAUAUUUUUAUCAAA